CCUACGGGAGGCUGCAGUAGGGAAUAUUGCUCAAUGGGGGAAACCCUGAAGCAGCAACGCCGCGUGGAGGAUGAAGGUUUUCGGAUUGUAAACUCCUUUUGUUAGAGAAGAUAAUGACGGUAUCUAACGAAUAAGCACCGGCUAACUCCGUGCCAGCAGCCGCGGUAAUACGGAGGGUGCAAGCGUUACUCGGAAUCACUGGGCGUAAAGAGCGCGUAGGCGGGAUAGCAAGUCAGAUGUGAAAUCCUAUGGCUUAACCAUAGAACUGCAUUUGAAACUGUUAUUCUAGAGUAUGGGGAGGGAAGAGGGAAUUCAUGGUGGAGGGGUAAAAUCUGUAGAAAAAAAGAGGAAUUCUGAUUGAGAAGG
Molecule: ribosomal RNA, 366 nt
Filed under: uncultured bacterium
Lineage: Bacteria
Description: partial 16S ribosomal RNA
Rfam family: Bacterial small subunit ribosomal RNA
Source: RNAcentral